Molecule: ribosomal RNA, 253 nt
Filed under: uncultured bacterium
Lineage: Bacteria
Description: partial 16S ribosomal RNA
Rfam family: Bacterial small subunit ribosomal RNA
Source: RNAcentral
UACGGGGGGAGCAAGCGUUGUUCGGAUUUACUGGGCGUAAAGGGCGCGUAGGCGGCGCAACAAGUCACUUGUGAAAUCUCCGGGCUUAACUCGGAGCGGUCAAGUGAUACUGUCGUGCUAGAGUGCGGAAGGGGCUACUGGAAUUCUCGGUGUAGCGGUGAAAUGCGUAGAUAUCGAGAGGAAUACCUGCGGCGAAGGCGGGUAGCUGGGCCGACACUGACGCUGAUGCGCGAAAGCCAGGGGAGCGAACGGG